AUUGAACGCUGGCGGCAGGCCUAACACAUGCAAGUCGAGCGGAUGAAGGGAGCUUGCUCCUGGAUUCAGCGGCGGACGGGUGAGUAAUGCCUAGGAAUCUGCCUGGUAGUGGGGGAUAACGUCCGGAAACGGGCGCUAAUACCGCAUACGUCCUGAGGGAGAAAGUGGGGGAACUUCGGACCUCACGCUAUCAGAUGAGCCUAGGUCGGAUUAGCUAGUUGGUGGGGUAAAGGCCUACCAAGGCGACGAUCCGUAACUGGUCUGAGAGGAUGAUCAGUCACACUGGAACUGAGACACGGUCCAGGCUCCUACGGGAGGCAGCAGUGGGGAAUAUUGGACAAUGGGCGAAAGCCUGAUCCAGCCAUGCCGCGUGUGUGAAGAAGGUCUUCGGAUUGUAAAGCACUUUAAGUUGGGAGGAAGGGCAGUAAGUUAAUACCUUGCUGUUUUGACGUUACCAACAGAAUAAGCACCGGCUAACUUCGUG
This 484-nucleotide ribosomal RNA is filed under the name uncultured bacterium. RNAcentral's name for it is "partial 16S ribosomal RNA". It matches the Rfam family "Bacterial small subunit ribosomal RNA", at positions 30 to 507 of the family's 1533-position model. The record is from RNAcentral.